RNAcentral lists this ribosomal RNA (473 nucleotides) under uncultured delta proteobacterium. RNAcentral describes it as "bacterial SSU rRNA". It matches the Rfam family "Bacterial small subunit ribosomal RNA", at positions 400 to 863 of the family's 1533-position model. Lineage: Bacteria; Deltaproteobacteria. The record is from RNAcentral.
CGUGAGUGACGAAGGCUUUCGGGUCGUAAAGCUCUGUCAAGUGGGAAGAACCUGUUAGAUACUAAUACCAUCUAGCACUGACGGUACCACUAAAGGAAGCACCGGCUAACUCCGUGCCAGCAGCCGCGGUAAUACGGGGGGUGCAAGCGUUAUUCGGAAUUAUUGGGCGUAAAGGGCGCGUAGGCGGUCUCUAAAGUCAGAUGUGAAAGCCCGGGGCUUAACCCCGGAAGUGCAUUUGAAACUUAGGGACUUGAGUAUGGGAGAGGGAAGUGGAAUUCCUGGUGUAGCGGUGAAAUGCGUAGAUAUCAGGAGGAACACCAGUGGCGAAGGCGACUUCCUGGACCAAUACUGACGCUGAGGCGCGAAGGCGUGGGGAGCAAACAGGAUUAGAUACCCUGGUAGUCCACGCAGUAAACGGUGAACACUAGGUGUAGCGGGUAUUGACCCCUGCUGUGCCGCAGCUAACGCAUUAA